AGUGAACGCUGGCGGUAGGCCUAACACAUGCAAGUCGAACGGCAGCACAGGAGAGCUUGCUCUCUAGGUGGCGAGUGGGGGACGGGUGAGGAAUACAUCGGAAUCGGCGCAGUCGUGGGGGAUAACGUAGGGAAACUUACGCUAAUACCGCAUACGACCUGCGGGUGAAAGAGGGGGAUCGCAAGACCUCUCGCGAUUGGAUGAGCCGAGGUCGGAUUAGCUAGUUGGCGGGGUAAUGGCCCACCAAGGCGACGAUCCGUAGCUGGUCUGAGAGGAUGAUCAGCCACACUGGAACUGAGACACGGUCCAGACUCCUACGGGAGGCAGCAGUGGGGAAUAUUGGACAAUGGGCGCAAGCCUGAUCCAGCCAUACCGCGUGUGUGAAGAAGGACUUCGGGUUGUAAAGCCCUUUUGUUGGGAAAGAAAUCUUUCAGGCUAAUACCCUGGGAGGAUGACGGUACCCAAAGAAUAAGCACCGGCUAACUUCGUG
RNAcentral lists this ribosomal RNA (490 nucleotides) under uncultured bacterium. RNAcentral describes it as "partial 16S ribosomal RNA". It matches the Rfam family "Bacterial small subunit ribosomal RNA", at positions 29 to 507 of the family's 1533-position model. The record is from RNAcentral.